RNAcentral lists this transfer RNA (76 nucleotides) under Bacillus sp. AFS029533. RNAcentral's name for it is "tRNA-Val". It matches the Rfam family "tRNA". From Rfam's summary of the family: Transfer RNA (tRNA) molecules are approximately 80 nucleotides in length. Their secondary structure includes four short double-helical elements and three loops (D, anti-codon, and T loops). Lineage: Bacteria; Bacillati; Bacillota; Bacilli; Caryophanales; Bacillaceae. The record is from RNAcentral.
GGAGGAUUAGCUCAGCUGGGAGAGCACCUGCCUUACAAGCAGGAGGUCGGCGGUUCGAGCCCGUCAUCCUCCACCA